AGUGAACGCUGGCGGUAGGCCUAACACAUGCAAGUCGAACGGCAGCACAGUAAGAGCUUGCUCUUACGGGUGGCGAGUGGCGGACGGGUGAGGAAUACAUCGGACUCUACUUUUUCGUGGGGGAUAACGUAGGGAAACUUACGCUAAUACCGCAUACGACCUACGGGUGAAAGCAGUGGAUCUUCGGACCUUGCGCGAUUGAAUGAGCCGAUGUCGGAUUAGCUAGUUGGCGGGGUAAAGGCCCACCAAGGCGACGAUCCGUAGCUGGUCUGAGAGGAUGAUCAGCCACACUGGAACUGAGACACGGUCCAGACUCCUACGGGAGGCAGCAGUGGGGAAUAUUGGACAAUGGGCGCAAGCCUGAUCCAGCCAUACCGCGUGGGUGAAGAAGGCGUUCGGGUUGUAAAGCCGUUUUGUUGGGAAAGAAAAGCAGCAGGUUAAUACCCCGCUGUUCUGACGGUACCCAAAGAAUAAGCACCGGCUAACUUCGUG
RNAcentral lists this ribosomal RNA (492 nucleotides) under uncultured bacterium. Its description in RNAcentral is "partial 16S ribosomal RNA". It matches the Rfam family "Bacterial small subunit ribosomal RNA", at positions 29 to 507 of the family's 1533-position model. The record is from RNAcentral.